GGAAUACACUGUACCUAAGAGCUUCCCUGUUUGUGACGAUCGACAUUCAGAACUCAUUCCCUGUUUAGAUAGGAAUCUUAUAUAUCAGAUGAGACUGAAGCUGGAUCUCUCCUUGAUGGAACACUAUGAACGACAUUGCCCCCCUCCAGAAAGGCGAUACAAUUGCUUGAUUCCUCCUCCACCAGGGUACAAGAUCCCAAUUAAGU
RNAcentral lists this unclassified non-coding RNA (206 nucleotides) under Hevea brasiliensis (rubber tree). The record is from RNAcentral. Lineage: Eukaryota; Viridiplantae; Streptophyta; Magnoliopsida; Malpighiales; Euphorbiaceae.